Molecule: long non-coding RNA, 1290 nt
Filed under: Cyanistes caeruleus (blue tit)
Lineage: Eukaryota; Metazoa; Chordata; Aves; Passeriformes; Paridae
Description: lncRNA (ENSCCEG00000003379.1)
Source: RNAcentral
CCUGGGACAGCUGGGGACAGCUGGGGAUACACCUGGGACAGCUGGGGAUACACCUGGGACACCUGGGACAGCUGGGGAUACACCUGGGACAGCUGGGAAUACACCUGGAGAUACACCUGGGACAGCUGGGGACACACCUGGGACAGCUGGGAAUACACCUGGAGAUACACCUGGGACAGCUGGGGACAGCUGGGACAGCUGGGGAUACAUCUGGGGACAGCUGGGGAUACACCUGGGACAGGUGAGUGUCACCUGGGGACACCUGGGACAGCUGGGGACAGCUGGGACAGCUGGGGAUACAUCUGGGGACAGCUGGGGAUACACCUGGGACAGGUGAGUGUCACCUGGGGACACCUGGGACAGCUGGGGAUAUACCUGGGACACCUGGGACAGCUGGGGGUGUCCCCCAAGUGUCCCCAGCCCCACCUGGGCAGGUUGUACAGGGGGGGUUACAGUGUCCCCCAGGUCUCCCCAGUGUCCCCCAGUGUCCCCAGGUGUCCCCAGUGUCCCCAGUCCCACCUGGGCAGGUUGUACAGGGGGGUUACAGUGUCCCCCCAGGUGUCCCCCAGGUGUCCCCAGUGUCCCCACCUGGGCAGGUUGUACAGGGGGGUCAGGUUGUCCCCAGUGUCCCCCCAGGUGUCCCCAGCCCCACCUGGGCAGGUUGUACAGGGGGGUUACAGUGUUCCCCCAGUGUCCCCAGUGUCCCCCCAGGUGUCCCCAGUGUUCCCAGUCCCACCUGGGCAGGUUGUACAGGGGGGUUACAGUGUUCCCCCAGGUGUCCCCAGUGUCCCCAGUGUCCCCCCCAGGUGUCCCCAGUCCCACCUGGGCAGGUUGUACAGGGGGGUUACAGUGUUCCCCCAGGUGUCCCCAGUGUCCCCCCAGGUGUCCCCAGUCCCACCUGGGCAGGUUGUACAGGGGGGUCAUGCGGAAGCAGGCGACGACGGCGCGGCGCCGCUGUUUGGAGAGCAGCUUGUGCCACACGGCCUUCUUGGACUUGUAGGGGUGCUCCGUCUGUGGGGGGACACCGGGGUCACCUGGGGCCACCUGGGGCCACCCGGGAACACCUGGGAACACCUGGGGGUCAUCUGGGGUCACCCGGGGGUCACCUGGGGUCACAUUGGGGUCACCCGGGAACACCUGGGGUCACCUGGGGGUCAUCUGGGAUCACCCGGGGGUCACCUGGGGUCACCUGGGGUCAUAUUUGGGUCACCUGGGGUCACCUGGGGUCACCUGGGGGUCAUCUGGGGCCAUCCGGGGUCACCUGGGGUCACCUGGGGGUCACCUGGGGUC